UCAUGUAUUGUAAUUUUAUUAGUUAAUUGUACCUGAACUCAAUUCUAAAUUUUGCGAGAGCAGGCUUGUGUCAAACUGGGAUCUUUAACUGGGGUG
This 96-nucleotide ribosomal RNA is filed under the name uncultured bacterium. Its description in RNAcentral is "partial 16S ribosomal RNA". The record is from RNAcentral.